RNAcentral lists this non-coding RNA (26 nucleotides) under Mus musculus (house mouse). The record is from RNAcentral. Lineage: Eukaryota; Metazoa; Chordata; Mammalia; Rodentia; Muridae.
UAGAAGCUGAGGGCCUGGUGACAGCU